RNAcentral lists this transfer RNA (75 nucleotides) under uncultured Nocardioidaceae bacterium. RNAcentral's name for it is "tRNA-Val-GAC". It matches the Rfam family "tRNA". Rfam says of the family: Transfer RNA (tRNA) molecules are approximately 80 nucleotides in length. Their secondary structure includes four short double-helical elements and three loops (D, anti-codon, and T loops). The record is from RNAcentral. Lineage: Bacteria; Bacillati; Actinomycetota; Actinomycetes; Propionibacteriales; Nocardioidaceae.
GGGCGAUUGGCGCAGUGGUAGCGCGCUUCCCUGACACGGAAGAGGUCACUGGUUCAAACCCAGUAUCGCCCACCG